GUCAAGUCAUCAUGGCCCUUAUGUCCAGGGCGACACACGUGCUACAAUGGCCGGUACAGAGGGAAGCAAACCUGAGAAGGAAAGCAGAUCCCAGAAAGCCGGUCGCAGUUCGGAUUGAGGUCUGCAACUCGACCUCAUGAAGCUGGAAUCGCUAGUAAUCGCAGAUCAGCCAAGCUGCGGUGAAUACGUUCCCGGGCCUU
RNAcentral lists this ribosomal RNA (200 nucleotides) under uncultured prokaryote. RNAcentral describes it as "partial 16S ribosomal RNA". It matches the Rfam family "Bacterial small subunit ribosomal RNA", at positions 1184 to 1382 of the family's 1533-position model. The record is from RNAcentral.